GAAGAACAAAAUUGUAACAUCAGUAACAAGAAACGAGCAACAUGACUACUUUAGGGAGAGGAGAAAGAUUUGCAAGAAGAGUGCAAUAAAUGAGGGAGCAUCUGAAAUAAACUAAGUUAUCAAUAGAGAUAAUGACAACUCUAAGGCUAACAUGGUCAAAAACUUUGAUGAAGAUUGUAAUUGACAACUGCAAGGAGGUUGCUAUAUCAAAAUAAAAAGUGAUGGAUUUUACUACAUCAAAGCACAUUUGUAGAGACCAUGUGAUGUUUAACAACUUGAAAACUAGCUAAGAGUUUGACAAUUUCACAUCAGGAAAUGGGGAGAAAAUGAAAGACUUGAAAACUAGCUAAGAGUUUGACCAUUUCACAUCAGGAAAUGGGGAGAAAAUGAAAGACAUUAUG
This 401-nucleotide long non-coding RNA is filed under the name Phaseolus vulgaris (common bean). RNAcentral describes it as "long non-coding RNA (PVUL_LNC002856)". The record is from RNAcentral. Lineage: Eukaryota; Viridiplantae; Streptophyta; Magnoliopsida; Fabales; Fabaceae.